Molecule: unclassified non-coding RNA, 1932 nt
Filed under: Hevea brasiliensis (rubber tree)
Lineage: Eukaryota; Viridiplantae; Streptophyta; Magnoliopsida; Malpighiales; Euphorbiaceae
Source: RNAcentral
AAGAAAAAAAAAAAAAAAAAGAAACUUUGCUAUUGCUGUGGUUGUUCGCAUUCCUUUUGUUAAGAAGAUUUUGGAACUGCUUCAUAGUUUAAUGAAAAUAAAGAAACUAGCUAUGGCCGGAUCUCAUCCUCUAGUCAAUCAGAUUUUGGAGCCAAACAUCUUCUUCUUUGCAAAAGACGGCAUGCAGAAGGCAGCAGUAUGGACCUCUGAGUUGUAAAAUAGGGGAGGUCCUUUGGCUACACCAUAAUUCUCAGGAUUCAAUGGAUUUACAGGGUGUAUGAAGUCGACCGGUGGACCCUCGGUGGAGCAAAGCAUGAAACCAAUCAUCCCACUGAAAUGAAACGCUACUCAGUAAUUAAUCACCUCCACGAUAUAAUGAUAAGCAGAUAGAAAAGAAAAGACAUAAAAAAAAAAUCAAGAGGCACGCCUGGCAUAUGCAGGAGUUGUGCACCAGGCGUAGCUAACAGAGCCUUUGAAUGCCUCGCGGCAUUUUGCUAUGCAAUCUGAAAGUGAAAAUUCUGUGUGCCACAAGCUUUCCGCUGGGCAACACAUGACUCCUCCUGGGCGAAGAGCCUUCGCCACCGAUUCUAGGAAGCACUUAUCGCCUGCUUCUUUUUCAUCAGGCCCUGCGUAUAUGAUAUUGAAUGUAUUUGAAAUCUGUGAGGAUGUGAAAAUCGAAGUUUUCAAACUUUGUGAGCCAGUUCAGCUGGAGAUUCAAAUAUUGUUAGAAUUAAUUUGUAUCGAGAAAUGAAGAAAAAUAGCUCAAAAAAGUUCAUGUGUACUGAGCAUAUGCAAUAAUAUCACCUUAAUAUAGAUUACUGUAAUAGAUGAAAUGAAAUCACUAACAGGGAGAGAAAUACCCACGCACUGGAAUGCGUCCAAUAUGAUUGCAUCGUAAGUAACCUGAGCCUGAGGAACAUUUUUCAGGAAUUCAACUCCGUCGCCUAUAUGCAGAUUGACUCGGGGAUCCUCGUAUCCAAUUGCUAUGUCAGGGAAGAACCGCUUGUAGGCCUUAGAUAGGAAUGGUGAGAUACAUAAUUCACUUACGUCAAUCACCAUUUUGUCAAUUUCACAUAUGUCAAUCCGAUCAACGGAGGAAUGGCGAGAUAUUUCUCUCAGAAUUCCACCAUCUCCCCCUCCAAUUAGCAAUACCUUCUUUGGGUUUGGAAUGGAGCAAAGCGGAAGGUGGGUGAGCAUUUCUUGGUAAACAAACUCAUCUUUCUCUGUGAGUUGAAGAUCCCCAUCCAAGAUCACAAUCUUGCCAUGCCCUGAUGACUGAAAUACAAUAAGAUCCUGAUGUUCUGACUUGUCAUGAAAGAGGACUUUUUCCACCUUGUACAAGUGUGCCUCUCCUGGCCAUCCUUGAGAAGCAUCAGCAUACCAUCCUGGAAUGUUAAGAGAAACACCAUUAUGGUUCUCCAUUUCAAGAAUAGGUGGUGAAGACAAGAGAUGAGUGGUGAUCUGAUCUAGGUCUUGUGCAUGUAUUGUGGGAGAUUCAUGAGCAGAAGCAAAACCAUUUUCUGCAGCCAUUGAUUCUCUCCUUUAUUUGGUCUUUAUCACUACUGGAGCUGAUAAGAGAAUAUGUAUAAACUGUGAAGGACAAAGCUUAUGCAUGUGGCUAUAAAUAGGAAACAAUGGCCAAUUGAACCACAAGUAGAAAUGCAUGUGGCCCCUGCAUGAUCAUUUGUCAAGUUUUGUCUCCGUAGUUGAAUGUAUGCCGGGUCCUCAAUCUUUUCAGGUCAAGACUCCAGAUUCAUGAUUUCGGAUUCUUCAGGAUUAGAUCAAAUUUAAAAUCUCUUGGAUUAUUGAUUUCCUUUUCCUCUCUUCUUUUUUAUUAAUUCAAUACUAUGCUAUGCUUUUCCUAUCACACGUCUCUGCAGAUUUGUGUCUCAAGUCCGCUUGUAGAAUUCAUAUGAUCAUCAUCAAUAUAAG